This 904-nucleotide small RNA is filed under the name Pan troglodytes (chimpanzee). RNAcentral's name for it is "processed transcript". The record is from RNAcentral. Lineage: Eukaryota; Metazoa; Chordata; Mammalia; Primates; Hominidae.
GGGGAUUGGAAUGGGAAGGGUGGAAGAUCAUUCUCUGUGCUCUUUAAACUGAAUAGAGUCGUAAGAAACAUUUCCCUCCCUGAAGUAAAUUCAUUUAAAAUUUUCUGGGUUCUCCCAGUGCCACAGUAUAGUCGUGUGGAUAUGUCACACAAUGGAGGCCUUGUGGUUUCAUCUGUGUAGACAGGAAGUCAUUUCUCUGGGUCCACAAAUCAGCUGUUGCCUCCAGCAAAACAAAUUUGACCACCAUUUCUCACCCGACACAUGGAGCUAUCAUAGUCAAGAAUGUCCUUAAGUUUAAAAGAAAUGUUCUUGGGGGAUACAUACUAUAUAUAUUCCAGAUUCUAAAGCUAAAACAAAGCAACCAGUCCUAAAGCCUCUGCUUUCUCAGAGCUUUUCUUUCUCCCUUGUCAGGAUCAAACACAUUCCCUGUCAUUCUGCAUCAUGGUAUUAGAGCAAGUGAAUUCUGUCAGAGUAUCAGAUUUUCCUUUUCAGUUGUUUUUAGAGACCGUAAUUUCUCUGGAAAAGAUAGCACUACUGAGAUGAAGGAGCACCUGUGCGUCCGUACUGCCCCUCGCAUAGCCUAAAGUAGGGGUGUGCAUCUCAUUCUACCGUCUAGGAUUUUCAGGUUUUCCUGUGACUGUGACAGUAGAGAGUCCUUCAUCCUCUGAAAUUGAAGAGGUUGAUGAUUCUUCAGAGAGUGUUCAUGAAGUGCCUGAGAAAACUAGUAUAAAACAAGAAGCAUUACAGGAAAAACUGGAGGAGUGCCUAAAGCAGUUAAAGGAAGAAAGAGUGAUAAGGCUUAAGGUUGAUAAACGAGUCAGUGAGCUGGAACAUGAAAAUGCCCAGUUAAGAAAUAUAAAUUUCUCUUUGUCUGAAGCCCUUCAUGCACAGUCAUUGACAAAUA